This 358-nucleotide unclassified non-coding RNA is filed under the name soil metagenome. RNAcentral describes it as "partial contains 5.8S ribosomal RNA, internal transcribed spacer 2, and large subunit ribosomal RNA". The stretch from base 1 to 120 matches the Rfam family "5.8S ribosomal RNA", at positions 35 to 154 of the family's 154-position model. The record is from RNAcentral.
GAUGAAGAACGUAGUGAAAUGCGAUAAGUAAUGUGAAUUGCAGAAUUCAGUGAAUCAUCGAAUCUUUGAACGCACAUUGCGCCCAUUAGUAUUCUAGUGGGCAUGCCUGUUCGAGCGUCAUUUCAACCCUCAAGCCUUAGUUGCUUGGUGUUGGGAGCUUAUCUUGCCGAAAGGCGGGACAACUCCUUAAAUUUAUCGGCGGAGUCGCGGUGACCCCAAGCGUAGUAAAUUAUUUUUUCCUCGCUUUAGGUGUUAACGCUGGCUUUUCUAGCCGUUAAACCCCCCCUAAUAUUUUAAUGGUUGACCUCGGAUCAGGUAGGACUACCCGCUGAACUUAAGCAUAUCAAUAAGCGGAGGA